This 305-nucleotide ribosomal RNA is filed under the name uncultured bacterium. RNAcentral's name for it is "bacterial SSU rRNA". It matches the Rfam family "Bacterial small subunit ribosomal RNA", at positions 334 to 637 of the family's 1533-position model. The record is from RNAcentral.
UAUGCCUACGGGAGGCAGCAGUGAGGAAUAUUGGUCAAUGGACGAGAGUCUGAACCAGCCAAGUAGCGUGAAGGAUGACUGCCCUAUGGGUUGUAAACUUCUUUUAUAUGGGAAUAAAAUGUUCCACGUGUGGGAUUUUGUAUGUACCAUAUGAAUAAGGAUCGGCUAACUCCGUGCCAGCAGCCGCGGUAAUACGGAGGAUGCGAGCGUUAUCCGGAUUUAUUGGGUUUAAAGGGUGCGUAGGCGGACAGUCAAGUCAGCGGUAAAAAUGCGGUGCUCAACGCCGUACAGCCGUUGAAACUGGG